AUGACAGAUAAUAUAAAGAAGCUUUGGAGGGAGUCCAGUGUAGACAGGGCCAAACCGUUCUCACCGGUGCAUAUUGAUGGUUUCUCUUGCGAGUUUGUGCGGGUGCCUCAGCAGGAAAACACGCAUGAUUGUGGAUUCUUUAUGCUACAAAACUGCAAGACCUAUUAUUGCCGGGAGGAUGGUGUAAUUGAAAUGUGGCUGGAUCUUGGUGAGCAUGACUACAGGUUCUUUGGUAGCCAGUUCUCGGAGCUCGAGCGCAUAGCUAUUGAUCUUAGACAGGGGCGUUCUCCCGAAAAGACAAGAUCUGGUGUUAUGAAGUGGCGGUUGGGAGCUCUGAGAAGUUCUACGGCUGCUUGUGCAGAGAGCCCUACUACACCCAAGAAUCCCAUUGUGGAAUUGAUAGACAGCGAUGAUGAUGUGUUUGACAAGAUUGCUGGCGUUGGAAGAGUCACGAGGAGCGCUGCUGCCAAAGGUUUAUCUCCCCUUGCUGGAAUAGUGGCUCGUAGAGCUGGUGGUGCUAGGAAAGAUCCUGCUUUGGAUUCUGGCAAUGUUGUAAGCACGAAGCGUGCGCCCAGAGCUCCUAUAAAGUUUUGCUCCCCUGUGCAGCAGCUUCACCCUCAUAAAUUCACUCAGCUGGACAAGGCUCGCAGGUUGUAUAAUUUGUUUCUUAGUGAUGAAUGGCGUGAGAAGUAUGCCGAGAAUACAUUCUCAAUGAUACCUCAGCCUGAUGAAAGCGUAACUAACUUCACUGGGAAUCGCAUCUGGGAAGUUUUUUCACCUGGGCAAAUGAUGGAGGGUGAUGUUGUGCUUGAUUGUUUGUUUUACGAGGAUGAAAAUAAAGUGUUUAAUGUGGAGAGUGCAGCGAGAGAUUUCAAGAGCUAUGUUAAAGCUAAUGAAGACUUGCUCAGUGCCGACCUUAUCAUGAUGCCUCUAUUCAAGCCUAUGGUUUUAUCAAAGGAUAGAUAA
This 966-nucleotide ribosomal RNA is filed under the name Triticum aestivum (bread wheat). RNAcentral describes it as "partial small subunit ribosomal RNA". The record is from RNAcentral. Lineage: Eukaryota; Viridiplantae; Streptophyta; Magnoliopsida; Poales; Poaceae.